CGCGCACACACCGCCCGUCACUCUCCCCAAGCCAAUAACAUCCUAUAACUAAUACAUUUCACCAGUAAAGGGGAGGCAAGUCGUAACAUGGUAAGUGUACCGGAAGGUGCACUUGGAAAAAU
RNAcentral lists this ribosomal RNA (122 nucleotides) under Cyprichromis leptosoma. Its description in RNAcentral is "partial 12S ribosomal RNA". The record is from RNAcentral. Lineage: Eukaryota; Metazoa; Chordata; Actinopteri; Cichliformes; Cichlidae.